This 348-nucleotide long non-coding RNA is filed under the name Rosa chinensis. RNAcentral's name for it is "sRNA RchiOBHm_Chr2g0128571". Lineage: Eukaryota; Viridiplantae; Streptophyta; Magnoliopsida; Rosales; Rosaceae. The record is from RNAcentral.
AUGGAGCGGGUAGCACUAGCAAGGAAGGCACAAAAAACAUAGGCAAAGACGCAUGUUUCUUCAUAUUACUCUCAAGUAUAUAAUAGAACAACCAUACCUUAUAUGUGAGUUCAGUUAGAAAGAAAAAAAAUUGAUGCAUUUGUACUACCCGCUGCAAAGCGCGUAAUGAGAAAGCACAUAUAUACCAAACGCCAGUUACUGUUUGCUUUGGGUUUUGCAGUUUUCAGUAUUGUGGACUGGAGUAUCUCCCUCUUUUCGCUUUGUUGAUUGCAUUUUGCCACAUCCACCAUUGACUUGAUUAGAUUCUAUGCAAAGGAGACUCUCAAUUGUUUUUCUGUCAUUGUUUUU